Molecule: ribosomal RNA, 301 nt
Filed under: uncultured bacterium
Lineage: Bacteria
Description: partial 16S ribosomal RNA
Rfam family: Bacterial small subunit ribosomal RNA
Source: RNAcentral
CAGUAGCGCGGUAAUACGUAGGUGGCAAGCGUUGUCCGGAAUUAUUGGGCGUAAAGGGCUCGCAGGCGGUUUCUUAAGUCUGAUGUGAAAGCCCCCGGCUCAACCGGGGAGGGUCAUUGGAAACUGGGAAACUUGAGUGCAGAAGAGGAGAGUGGAAUUCCACGUGUAACGGUGAAAUGCGUAGAGAUGUGGGGGAACACCAGUGGCGAAGGCGACUCUCUGGUCUGUAACUGACGCUGAGGAGCGAAAGCGUGGGGAGCGAACAGGAUUAGAUACCCCUGUAGUCCCUGUCUCUUAUACA